RNAcentral lists this ribosomal RNA (513 nucleotides) under uncultured bacterium. RNAcentral describes it as "partial 16S ribosomal RNA". It matches the Rfam family "Bacterial small subunit ribosomal RNA", at positions 28 to 507 of the family's 1533-position model. The record is from RNAcentral.
GACGAACGCUGGCGGCGUGCUUAACACAUGCAAGUCGAACGAAAAGAGGGAAAGAGCUUGCUCUUUCCGGAAUUGAGUGGCAAACGGGUGAGUAACACGUAAACAACCUGCCUUCAGGAUGGGGACAACAGACGGAAACGACUGCUAAUACCGAAUAAGUUCCAAGGGCCGCAUGGCCCAUGGAAGAAAAGGUGGCCUCUACCUGUAAGCUAUCGCCUGAAGAGGGGUUUGCGUCUGAUUAGCUGGUUGGAGGGGUAACGGCCCACCAAGGCGACGAUCAGUAGCCGGUCUGCGAGGAUGAGCGGCCAAACUGGAACUGAGACACGGUCCAGACUCCUACGGGAGGCAGCAGUGGGGAAUCUUCCGCAAUGGGCGAAAGCCUGACGGAGCAACGCCGCGUGAGUGAUGACGGCCUUCGGGUUGUAAAACUCUGUGAUCCGGGACGAAAAGGCAGAGUGCGAAGAACAAACUGCAUUGACGGUACCGGAAAAGCAAGCCACGGCUAACUACGUG